This 149-nucleotide non-coding RNA is filed under the name Planomonospora parontospora subsp. sphaerica. The record is from RNAcentral. Lineage: Bacteria; Bacillati; Actinomycetota; Actinomycetes; Streptosporangiales; Streptosporangiaceae.
AGAUUGACGGGAGCGGCGGCCCCGGGAUACGUUCCGGGUGUUUUGUGGCGGCGCGGGGGAAAUCCGGUGAGAUUCCGGUGCGGUCGCGCCACUGUAACCGGCCCUGUGGGGACGGAAGCCAGGUCACCCGGCCGCCACCGACCUACGAA